AUAUCAAUAAGCGGAGGAAAAGAAACCAACUGGGAUUGCCUCAGUAACGGCGAGUGAAGCGGCAGAAGCUCAAAUUUGAAAUCUGGCCCCUCUGGGGGUCCGAGUUGUAAUUUGCAGAGGACACUUCGGGUGCGGCCGCGGUCUAAGUCCCCUGGAACGGGGCGUCGGAGAGGGUGAGAAUCCCGUCUGGGACCGUGGACCUGCCCCGUGUGAAGUUCCUUCGACGAGUCGAGUUGUUUGGGAAUGCAGCUCUAAGUGGGUGGUAAAUUUCAUCUAAAGCUAAAUACUGGCGGGAGACCGAUAGCGCACAAGUAGAGUGAUCGAAAGGUUAAAAGCACCUUGAAAAGGGAGUUAAACAGCACGUGAAAUUGUUGAAAGGGAAGCGCUGGCAGCCAGACAGGAACCCGGGGGCUCAGCGGGCAUGCGUGCCCGUGCACUCCCCCGCGGUUCCGGCCAGCAUCAGUUUCGGCGGCCGGUCAAAGGCCCCGGGAAGGUAUCGUCCUCCGGGACGACUUACAGCCCGGGGUGCAAUGCGGCCAGUCGGGACUGAGGAACGCGCUCCGGCACGGAUGCUGGCGUAAUGGCUGUCAGCGGCCCGUCUUGAAACACGGACCC
This 615-nucleotide ribosomal RNA is filed under the name Nannizziopsis guarroi. RNAcentral's name for it is "eukaryotic LSU rRNA". It matches the Rfam family "Eukaryotic large subunit ribosomal RNA", at positions 40 to 668 of the family's 3401-position model. Lineage: Eukaryota; Fungi; Ascomycota; Eurotiomycetes; Onygenales; Nannizziopsiaceae. The record is from RNAcentral.